GUAUCCGGCCAGGGGGCCAUCACCGACAAUCGUCGGCCCCCAUUCGUCGCCGGCGCCAGCCACCGCAGGCGGUGCCCGGAAAAGGUGAUGGUGGCAGACAAUGGAUAUAAAAAAUAGGAGGAAAAAUGGGGCAAGUGAGAAAGUGGCUAGGUGGCUAGGGUUUCUUGGUUUUUUUGGGGGUUAGAUUUUUUUUGAGGGGGCUUAAUGGGCUUUUGAAUUGGGUUUAAUAUUUGGGUUUUGUAAUCGGUUUGGGUAGAUGUAAAUGGGUUAUGAGUUAAGGAUUUUAGUGAGUUUAGAGGUUUGGUUGAGUUUUGAUGUAAUCGGGCCCGGGCAAUUUGGGCUUCUACAAAUACUAUGUAUUAGUUUCUAAUCCCAA
Molecule: long non-coding RNA, 376 nt
Organism: Gossypium arboreum
Lineage: Eukaryota; Viridiplantae; Streptophyta; Magnoliopsida; Malvales; Malvaceae
Exons: 2
Source: RefSeq, a predicted model, not a curated record